Molecule: transfer RNA, 75 nt
Organism: Metallosphaera yellowstonensis MK1
Lineage: Archaea; Thermoproteati; Thermoproteota; Thermoprotei; Sulfolobales; Sulfolobaceae
Rfam family: tRNA
About the family: Transfer RNA (tRNA) molecules are approximately 80 nucleotides in length.
Source: Rfam
GGGCCCGUCGUCUAGCCUGGUUAGGAUGCCGCUCUGACACAGCGGAGGUCCUGGGUUCAAAUCCCAGCGGGCCCA